This is a long non-coding RNA of Carassius carassius (crucian carp), 2087 nucleotides long. RefSeq lists it as uncharacterized. Lineage: Eukaryota; Metazoa; Chordata; Actinopteri; Cypriniformes; Cyprinidae. The transcript has 2 exons. The record is from RefSeq and is a predicted model, not a curated record.
AAAAAGCAUAGCACAAAAUUACUUGGAACAAAAGAGGAAACAGUAUUAAGAUACCAUGGAACUUGAUAAAUCAGUUUAAUCCUGUUCCUUUCUAAAGUUAGCUCUUGAAACUCAGUUGGAGAUAACUUAGUUUGGAAAAUGCUCAGUGACAAAUUCAGUGCAUCUUUAUAGAGUUGUACGACAGUGAUAACUCUUUGGCAUGACAGACAGCCCCAGGGGGUCAUAACAAUCACGAGGGCAAAGUAAUCCCACCGUGUUCCUUGCACAGCUGUUUUCUGUCGACGCACACUCACAGCUCUGACUUCCUUCUCUUUUUUGUUCAUUGACUACCAACAGAAACAAGCAGGAAUUUGUUCUUUUGUGCUGAGGAAGUGACAGAACAUCCAUGACUACAAUAAGUGAUAAUUAGGAGUAGAAGACUGAAUGAUAUUCUUUGCAAGAACAAAACCUUCACAGAAAAGAUUUACCCCCAAACUACAAUACACAAGUGCACAGAAAAUUUACGUUGAAAUGUGUUCAACCGAACACUUGGCAGACUGCCCCGGGAGAUGUGAACAAAUAUCCCAAGAGUCUUGUGAUUUUAUGAAUGAAUUACUGGAAAACAGAAGAUAAUCUGAGAAUGAAUAAAACAGAUGUCAUGAGAAGAGUAACAUGCAUGAUGGUUUUACUGUUGGACCGAACCCACCACUUCCUGGGGUUCGGGUAAAGCGAUAAGGGUUGGCCAAAAUCAUUAUAAGAGUGAAUUUUUAGGCUCAUGGUUGUUUUGACAUUUGUUUGGGAUAACAUCUUGAAAUCACAAGUUUGGGGGCUCUGAAUGACUGAUGGUGGUUGGUGGGAGUUGAAGGGUCAAGUUCCGCCUGACUAAAUUUCCCAAUGCCUUACAAGAAAUGAUGUUUGUCAGUGACUGCUAUGAAAUGUCCAUCUCAGCUUCAAAGCAAUAUAUUCUUAGUUUAAAUAAUGUUUCUGAGGUUUGUUCCCAGCUUUCAUUGCUGUCGUCUAUGCUUUAGCGUUCGUGUUCCAGCUUGUUUGCUCUGUUUGAUUGGUGUGACCAGGUUGGGUUUUAUAGUCUAUACUAAGAACAUGAAGUUGGAUGAAAGCCAGACAGUACACUGAACGUCUAAACUCUGGAAUUUUGCUCAUAUCUCAGUGGCAACGGCACAAGGAUAAUAAGUGAAAGGGAUAAAGACUCAUAUAAUGGGGUAAAACUUGUGAAAACCAUGCGUUUGAGCCAUAGGUUCACAGCUCAGCUUCAUUAACUUUCCUCACUAAAGGAGAACUUGAAAGAAAAACUAAUUUAGUGGGGCAUGUGAAUACCUUCACCCUAAAAUCCACCAUGUCAAUCUGUAGACAAAACACAACACUGUUAUUUUUGUUUCUUUAUUUGGCAAAGCUAUCUGAUUAAGGGGCACGAAAAUGUUUGGAUAAGAACCCAAUUGUGAGUUGUGGACUUACAUAGGACUCCAUUUGCAGUAUUCAGAUGGAACUUAAUAGACAGUGACUGCUUUACUCUAGGGGAUGAUGACAUUUAAAUAAACAGCACAUUGCAUACUUAACACAGACCUGGCCAGACAUCCCACUCACUGAUAGCUAGAAGCGUUUAGCCUCAUGCUGUUUAUGGUACCACAUGUUUAUUGGUGUUGAUCCAGGUAUUAACUCUGCCUUGUUUCCCACGAAUCUCAAGAGAAAGUGAAAACAUUAUGCUUAUAUUUACUAUCCUAUAGAUGACAGUCUCCAAAGAAGUAUGACUGCAUUAUUGCAUGUUUAUCAUGAUUUGUUUGAAAAGGUCAUGAAGAACUUGUUAUGGACGAUAAUGCAGCAUAAGAAAGAACUACUCAGAGCUUUCUUAUUGCUUGUUCCUUCAGGGAUGAUUGUAAUGAUAAAGCAAGGUGAGUCUGGGAAAAGGUUUAGAGUCCUAACGUUCUGGCAAACAUCCAUAACCUAAAGGCCAAGUGCCAUUUCUUGGUUAUGUGUGGCAAAACAUUUAGGUUUAUAAUAUUUUCCAUGAUGCUGUCAAUCAAACACACUCCUCUACACUAAGAAAUAACGUAAUGUGUUUUGUAUCUAAAAUGACCUCCAUGAUUACAAAA